AGCGAACGCUGGCGGCAGGCUUAACACAUGCAAGUCGAGCGGGCAUCUUCGGAUGUCAGCGGCAGACGGGUGAGUAACACGUGGGAACGUACCCUUCGGUUCGGAACAACUCUGGGAAACUGGAGCUAAUACCGGAUACGCCCUUAUGGGGAAAGGUUUACUGCCGAAGGAUCGGCCCGCGUCUGAUUAGCUAGUUGGUGGGGUAACGGCCUACCAAGGCGACGAUCAGUAGCUGGUCUGAGAGGAUGAUCAGCCACACUGGGACUGAGACACGGCCCAAACUCCUACGGGAGGCAGCAGUGGGGAAUAUUGGACAAUGGGCGCAAGCCUGAUCCAGCCAUGCCGCGUGAGUGAUGAAGGCCUUAGGGUUGUAAAGCUCUUUUGUCCGGGACGAUAAUGACGGUACCGGAAGAAUAAGCCCCGGCUAACUUCGUG
RNAcentral lists this ribosomal RNA (435 nucleotides) under uncultured bacterium. Its description in RNAcentral is "partial 16S ribosomal RNA". It matches the Rfam family "Bacterial small subunit ribosomal RNA", at positions 29 to 507 of the family's 1533-position model. The record is from RNAcentral.